Molecule: ribosomal RNA, 246 nt
Filed under: uncultured bacterium
Lineage: Bacteria
Description: partial 16S ribosomal RNA
Rfam family: Bacterial small subunit ribosomal RNA
Source: RNAcentral
GCAAGUCGAACGAAGACCCUUCUUCGGAAGGUGAAGAGUGGCGAACGGGUGAGUAACACGUGGGCAAUCUGCCCCUCACAUCGGGACAACCUUGGGAAACCGGGGCUAAUACCGAAUACCCACCGACACGGGCAUCCGUGACGGUGGAAAGGAUUCUGGUGAGGGAUGAGCCCGCGGCCUAUCAGCUUGUUGGUGGGGGAAGGGACGACAAAGGCGACGACGGGUAGCCGGCCGGAGAGGGCGAGC